Molecule: ribosomal RNA, 495 nt
Filed under: uncultured bacterium
Lineage: Bacteria
Description: partial 16S ribosomal RNA
Rfam family: Bacterial small subunit ribosomal RNA
Source: RNAcentral
GAUGAACGCUGGCGGCGUGCCUAAUACAUGCCAGUAGAACGCUGAAGGAGGAGCUUGCUCUUCUGGAUGAGUUGCGAACGGGUGAGUAACGCGUAGGUAACCUGCCUGGUAGCGGGGGAUAACUAUUGGAAACGAUAGCUAAUACCGCAUGACAACAGUUAUUGCAUGAUAACUGUUUAAAAGGGGCAACUGCUCCACUACCAGAUGGACCUGCGUUGUAUUAGCUAGUUGGUGAGGUAACGGCUCACCAAGGCGACGAUACAUAGCCGACCUGAGAGGGUGAUCGGCCACACUGGGACUGAGACACGGCCCAGACUCCUACGGGAGGCAGCAGUAGGGAAUCUUCGGCAAUGGACGGAAGUCUGACCGAGCAACGCCGCGUGAGUGAAGAAGGUUUUCGGAUCGUAAAGCCCUGUUGUAAGAGAAGAACGAGUGUGAGAGUGGAAAGUUCACACUGUGACGGUAUCUUACCAGAAAGGGACGGCUAACUACGUG